Molecule: ribosomal RNA, 529 nt
Filed under: uncultured bacterium
Lineage: Bacteria
Description: bacterial SSU rRNA
Rfam family: Bacterial small subunit ribosomal RNA
Source: RNAcentral
AAUAGAUACCCCGGUAGUCCAUGCCGUAAACGUUGGGCACUAGGUGUGGGGCUCAUUCCACGAGUUCCGUGCCGCAGCAAACGCAUUAAGUGCCCCGCCUGGGGAGUACGGCCGCAAGGCUAAAACUCAAAGGAAUUGACGGGGGCCCGCACAAGCGGCGGAGCAUGCGGAUUAAUUCGAUGCAACGCGAAGAACCUUACCAAGGCUUGACAUGCACGGGAAGCCACCAGAGAUGGUGGUCUCUUUGGACACUCGUGCACAGGUGGUGCAUGGUUGUCGUCAGCUCGUGUCGUGAGAUGUUGGGUUAAGUCCCGCAACGAGCGCAACCCUCGUCCCAUGUUGCCAGCGGGUUAUGCCGGGGACUCAUGGGAGACUGCCGGGGUCAACUCGGAGGAAGGUGGGGAUGACGUCAAAUCAUCAUGCCCCUUAUGUCUUGGGCUUCACGCAUGCUACAAUGGCCGGUACAAAGGGCUGCGAUGCCGUAAGGUGGAGCGAAUCCCAAAAAGCCGGUCUCAGUUCGGAUUGGGGU